AAAUGAAUAGACGGGGGCCCGCACAAGCAGUGGAUUAUGUGGUUUAAUUCGAAGCAACGCGAAGAACCUUACCAGGGCUUGACAUCCUCUGACAACUCUAGAGAUAGAGCCUCCCUUCGGGGCAGAGAGACAGGUGGUGCAUGGUUGUCGUCAGCUCGUGUCGUGAGAUGUUUGGUUAAGUCCAAUAACGAGCGCAACCCCUAUGGUCAGUUGCCAGCAUUUAGUUGGGCACUCUGGCAAGACUGCCGCGGACAACGCGGAGGAAGGAGGGGACGACGUCAAAUCAUCAUGCCCCUUAUGUCCUGGGCUACACACGUAAUACAAUGGCAACGACAGAGGGCAGCAAACCCGCGAGGGCAAGCAAAUCCCCAAACGUUGUCCCAGUUCGGACUGCAGGCUGCAACUCGCCUGCACGAAGUCGGAAUUGCUAGUAAUGGCAGGUCAGCAUACUGCCGUGAAUACGUUCCCGGGCCUUGUACACACCGCCCGU
Molecule: ribosomal RNA, 490 nt
Filed under: uncultured bacterium
Lineage: Bacteria
Description: bacterial SSU rRNA
Rfam family: Bacterial small subunit ribosomal RNA
Source: RNAcentral